RNAcentral lists this ribosomal RNA (427 nucleotides) under uncultured bacterium. Its description in RNAcentral is "partial 16S ribosomal RNA". It matches the Rfam family "Bacterial small subunit ribosomal RNA", at positions 355 to 774 of the family's 1533-position model. The record is from RNAcentral.
UGGGGAAUAUUGCACAAUGGGCGCAAGCCUGAUGCAGCCAUGCCGCGUGUAUGAAGAAGGCCUUCGGGUUGUAAAGUACUUUCAGCGGGGAGGAAGGUGUUGAGGCUAAUAACCUCAGCAAUUGACGUUACCCGCAGAAGAAGCACCGGCUAACUCCGUGCCAGCAGCCGCGGUAAUACGGAGGGUGCAAGCGUUAAUCGGAAUUACUGGGCGUAAAGUGCACGCAGGCGGUCUGUCAAGUCGGAUGUGAAAUCCCCGGGCUCAACCUGGGAACUGCAUUCGAAACUGGCAGGCUAGAGUCUUGUAGAGGGGGGUAGAAUUCCAGGUGUAGCGGUGAAAUGCGUAGAGAUCUGGAGGAAUACCGGUGGCGAAGGCGGCCCCCUGGACAAAGACUGACGCUCAGGUGCGAAAGCGUGGGGAGCAAACA